This 404-nucleotide ribosomal RNA is filed under the name uncultured bacterium. Its description in RNAcentral is "partial 16S ribosomal RNA". It matches the Rfam family "Bacterial small subunit ribosomal RNA", at positions 30 to 526 of the family's 1533-position model. The record is from RNAcentral.
AUUGAACGCUGGCGGCAGGCCUAACACAUGCAAGUCGAACGAGUGGCGGACGGGUGAGUAAUGUCUGGGAAACUGCCUGAUGGAGGGGGAUAACUACUGGAAACGGUAGCUAAUACCGCAUACCAUCGGAUGUGCCCAGAUGGGAGUAGCUAGUAGGUGGGGUAAAGGCUCACCUAGGCGACUAUCCCUAGCUGGUCUGAGAGGAUGACCGCACAAUGUAGAACUGAGACACGGUCCAGACGUCUACGGGAGGCAGCAGGGGGGAAUAUUGCACAAUGGGCGCAAGCCUGAUGCAGCCAUGCCGCGUGUAUGAAGAAGGCCUUCGUGUUGUAAAGUACUUUCAGCGGGGAGGCGUUACCCGCAGAAGAAGCACCGGCUAACUCCGUGCCAGCCGCCGGUAAUUC